GUUUGGUGAUAAUGUUGUAAGUUCUAAGAGGUGGAGAGUUGGGUAUGCCUAAUAAAGUAAAAAUGUGAAGGUCAAGAAUCCGCUUUCCAGACAUGUUGGCCUUCCUGCCUGCCUUCUGUUUGUAGCUUUCCAAUCUGAUCAAACUUAUUUUUUUCAAAUGCAGUAGUCAUUCACAUAGAGUUAGAAUUUUGAAGAAGAGGAAAAUGUUAUAAAGCUCAACGGAGAGACAAGAGAGAAAUACGCACCGAGUCUAUGUAUCUUACACACAAAAAACUAUGGCUGCUCUUGACUAUAUGCCCUCAGUGAAUCAUGUUUGGGGACAGAGAAUUCUUUGGUACAGAAUGCCAGAAUCAAAGAAGAAGCAGGGUACUUCUGUGUAAGGAAAUAGCUCAUGGCCAGGGUAAGGAAAGGAAAUGUCCUUGGGAUGUUGCAGAGAGAACCUUCCUGAAGUUCUGAUUUCAUACAGAACAUUUUUCUACCUUAGUCAAACAAUAUUUCACAUGAAUAUGUUUUAGUAAUAAGCUGGAUUGCUUAGACAGGAUCUGUGAAUUGGCAAUUUUUGGAAUUUUUUUAUCAUGAUAAAACAGAAAAGGAGAGAAGUCAAAGCUUAGAGCUACUAGUUUUGUUCUAUUUGUAGUCUUGAUUAAAAUAACAUCGACCUAAUAAUAAUAAUGGAGAAAAUAUGGGCGAAUGGAAACUAUGGGGGUUUAUAUUAGAUUAUAUGAUUCAUGACUAG
This 736-nucleotide long non-coding RNA is filed under the name Marmota monax (woodchuck). The record is from RNAcentral. Lineage: Eukaryota; Metazoa; Chordata; Mammalia; Rodentia; Sciuridae.